UCUACUUAUCGUAUUUUUGCC
Molecule: non-coding RNA, 21 nt
Filed under: Arabidopsis thaliana (thale cress)
Lineage: Eukaryota; Viridiplantae; Streptophyta; Magnoliopsida; Brassicales; Brassicaceae
Source: RNAcentral